GGGGUUGAGGCUCAGUGGUAGGGUGCUUGCCUAGAACGCAUGAGGCAUUGGGUUCGAUCCCCAGCACCACA
This 71-nucleotide transfer RNA is filed under the name Marmota monax (woodchuck). Its description in RNAcentral is "tRNA.Ser". It matches the Rfam family "tRNA". Rfam says of the family: Transfer RNA (tRNA) molecules are approximately 80 nucleotides in length. Their secondary structure includes four short double-helical elements and three loops (D, anti-codon, and T loops). The record is from RNAcentral. Lineage: Eukaryota; Metazoa; Chordata; Mammalia; Rodentia; Sciuridae.